This 46-nucleotide non-coding RNA is filed under the name Trichobilharzia regenti. Lineage: Eukaryota; Metazoa; Platyhelminthes; Trematoda; Strigeidida; Schistosomatidae. The record is from RNAcentral.
GUACCGAUGAGGAGUCCAAAAGUAGGACGAAACAGCUGUCCAGUAC